UUGAAAGGGAAACGAUUGAAGUCAGUCGUACCGACGAGAAAUCAGCUUAUCGUGUGUUAACUUGUGGGCGUGCGUGAGUUUCGGCCUCGCUGUUUGCAUGUUUGUGCGCUUUGGGUGUACUUUUUCGUAUGGUUGGCCAACAUCAGUUUCGAUCACUAUAAAAUGACUGGCGGAAUGUAGCUUCGAUUUCGGUUGAAGUGUUAUAGCCUCUGGUAGAUGUGGUGAUUGGGACUGAGGAUUGCAACGAAUAUCCUUCGGGCUAUCCGUCUGGCCUCUGAAAGUUGCUUGGGUGCUGAAAGCUUGCUUAUGGUUAUCUAAGUUAACGGUCAAUAGGUUAGAACGCGAUUACAUUCGUUAAGGAUGUUGACGUA
RNAcentral lists this ribosomal RNA (371 nucleotides) under uncultured Glomeromycotina. RNAcentral's name for it is "eukaryotic LSU rRNA". Lineage: Eukaryota; Fungi; Glomeromycota. The record is from RNAcentral.